GUACACGCUGUGACUAGCAUAUCAAUAAGCGGAGGAAAAGAAACUAACAAGGAUUCCCCUAGUAACGGCGAGCUGAAGCGGGAAGAGCUCAAAUUUGAAAUCUUAAAGGGUUUCCCUCUACGAAUUGUAGUUUAAAGAAGUGUUUUCUGUUGAGGUUUUGGUAAAAGUUCUUUGGAAUAGGACAUCAUAGAGGGUGAGAAUCCCGUAUUUGACCUUUACUUUCAACUUUGUGAUACACUCUCAAAGAGUCGGAUUGUUUGGGAAUGCAGUCCAAAAUGGGUGGUAAAUUUCAUCUAAAGCUAAAUAUUGGCGAGAGACCGAUAGCGAACAAGUACCGUGAGGGAAAGAUGAAAAGAACUUUGAAAAGAGAGUUAAACAGUACGUGAAAUUGUCAAAAGGGAAGCGUUUGACACCAGUGUUGUUUUUCUGAAAAUCAAUUAAGGAACUGUUUAUGCUAAGCUGUUUAGACUUUAUCAGCUAACUGUUUAGUUUUGAGCUUUUCUUUAAUGCACUUUUCAGUUAACAAGUCAACAUUCAAUUUCUUUUGCUGUAAAAAAGCUUGAGGAAGGUGGCUUGAGAUUCGUCUUAAGUGUUUAUAGCCUCAUGCCUAUGCAGUCGGAGAGAUUGAGGGUCUGCAGCGUAGAUCCUUCGGGGCUAAAUGCAUUCGUGCUAAGUUAUAGCAUUUUAUAGACAACUUGUUGACUAUGAUUUGUCUUGUAGCUUACUCGCUUAUGUUAUUUUACCUACGCUUAGGAUGUUGACGCGCGUGUGUGCGUG
RNAcentral lists this ribosomal RNA (777 nucleotides) under uncultured Neocallimastigales. RNAcentral's name for it is "partial large subunit ribosomal RNA". It matches the Rfam family "Eukaryotic large subunit ribosomal RNA", at positions 22 to 615 of the family's 3401-position model. Lineage: Eukaryota; Fungi; Neocallimastigomycota; Neocallimastigomycetes; Neocallimastigales. The record is from RNAcentral.